UGGGGAAUAUUGGGCAAUGGGCGAAAGCCUGACCCAGCAACGCCGCGUGAAUGAUGAAGGCCUUCGGGUUGUAAAAUUCUUUGGACAGGGACGAAGAAAGUGACGGUACCUGUAGAACAAGCCACGGCUAACUACGUGCCAGCAGCCGCGGUAAUACGUAGGGGGCUAGCGUUGUCCGGAAUCACUGGGCGUAAAGGGUUCGCAGGCGGAAAUGCAAGUCAGGUGUAAAAGGCAGUAGCUUAACUACUGUAAGCAUUUGAAACUGCAUAUCUUGAGAAGAGUAGAGGUAAGUGGAAUUUUUAGUGUAGCGGUGAAAUGCGUAGAUAUUAAAAAGAAUACCGGUGGCGAAGGCGACUUACUGGGCUCAUUCUGACGCUGGGGAACGAAAGCGUGGGUAGCAAACAGG
RNAcentral lists this ribosomal RNA (406 nucleotides) under Verrucomicrobiota bacterium. Its description in RNAcentral is "Verrucomicrobia bacterium partial 16S ribosomal RNA". It matches the Rfam family "Bacterial small subunit ribosomal RNA", at positions 355 to 776 of the family's 1533-position model. Lineage: Bacteria; Pseudomonadati; Verrucomicrobiota. The record is from RNAcentral.